AUGUACCACGCGUCGCCUCCGGUUCCUGUGCGCCGUCCAUGCCGACCUGACGACUGCAAGCCGCGUUUUGUUGGCC
This 76-nucleotide small RNA is filed under the name Xanthomonas pisi. RNAcentral describes it as "sX9 sRNA". It matches the Rfam family "Xanthomonas sRNA sX9". Lineage: Bacteria; Pseudomonadati; Pseudomonadota; Gammaproteobacteria; Lysobacterales; Lysobacteraceae. The record is from RNAcentral.